GUUUAAGACAGUGGAGCAGUAAGACAGUGGAACUAUAAGACAGUAGGGCUGUAAGACAGUAAACGUGUAAGACAGUAGAGUUGUAAGACAGUAGAGCAGCAAGACAGUGGAGCAGUAAGACAGUAGAGCAGCAAGAUAAUAGAGCAGCAAGAAAGUGGAGCAAAAAGACAAUAGAGAUGUAAGACAGUAGAGCAGCAAGACAGUAGAGCAGUAAGACAGUAGAACAGUAAGACAGUAAAUCAGUAAGGCAGUAGAGCUAUAAGACAGUAGAGCAGUAAGACAGUAGAUCAGCAAGACAGUAGAGCUGUAAGACAGUAGAGCUGUAAGACAGUAGAGCAGUAAGACAGUAGGGCUGUAAGACAGUAGAGCUGUAAGUCAGUAAAGGUGUAAGACAGUAGAGCUGUAAGACAGUAAAGGUGUAAGACAGUAGGGCUGUAAGACAGUAGAGCAGUAAGACAGUUGAGCAGUAAGACAGUAAAGGUGUAAGACAGUAGGGCUGUAAGACAGUAGAGCAGUAAGACAGUAGAGCAGUAAGACAGUAGAGCAGUAAGACAUUAGAGCAGUAAGACAGUAGGGCUGUAAGACAGUUGGGCUGUAAGACAGUAGAGCAGUAAGACAGUAGAGCAGUAAGACAGUAGAGCUGUAAGACAGUAGGGCUGUAAGACAGUAGGGCUGAGCUGAUUGGUCCAGACAGACUAGGCAACAUGAAGGGUCAGAGUUUACUGUAUAGCCAUGAGCGGUCGUGGGUUAAGUAGCCAUGCAUCACUGCGCUGGAGCACACUAGAGAGAGGUCUCCAUGACUCACUGAACAAUUAAUGUGCUGCUUAGAAACAACAUCAUUUAUAUCAAGCCAUUAACUUUUUCAGUCAAAUACAUUUUUAAUGCUUCUGUUACAUAUUAGAAUGAUGUUAUAGUAUUGAAUUGUCUAAUUGUUGUUGUAUUGUGUUGUCUGAUAACACUUUGUGGAUGCCUCAUACAUGACGCUGACUGCCUGCAACGAUUUGUCCUAAAACAUCAAACAACAAAACAUAUCAUAAUCUCAAGUUAUCAUUUUGAAUAUAUAAAAAACGUUGUAACAACUCUUUGUCAAAACUUUGCUAUUUAAUGUUUUCCCUGUUGUAUCUUUUGUUGAAAUCUUUAUUUUUUCAAAGCUGUGUUUCAAGAACAAACCACAGAAACCCUGUCAUGUCUAACCCAGACUACCAAGCACUCCCCUCUCUCAUCUCUCUCUUUUCUCUUCCUCUCCUCUAU
RNAcentral lists this long non-coding RNA (1251 nucleotides) under Salmo salar (Atlantic salmon). Its description in RNAcentral is "lncRNA (ENSSSAG00000119747.1)". The record is from RNAcentral. Lineage: Eukaryota; Metazoa; Chordata; Actinopteri; Salmoniformes; Salmonidae.